Molecule: ribosomal RNA, 598 nt
Filed under: Bacillus sp. (in: firmicutes)
Lineage: Bacteria; Bacillati; Bacillota; Bacilli; Caryophanales; Bacillaceae
Description: bacterial SSU rRNA
Rfam family: Bacterial small subunit ribosomal RNA
Source: RNAcentral
CUGAUUAGAAGCUUGCUUCUAUGACGUUAGCGGCGGACGGGUGAGUAACACGUGGGCAACCUGCCUGUAAGACUGGGAUAACUUCGGGAAACCGAAGCUAAUACCGGAUAGGAUCUUCUCCUUCAUGGGAGAUGAUUGAAAGAUGGUUUCGGCUAUCACUUACAGAUGGGCCCGCGGUGCAUUAGCUAGUUGGUGAGGUAACGGCUCACCAAGGCAACGAUGCAUAGCCGACCUGAGAGGGUGAUCGGCCACACUGGGACUGAGACACGGCCCAGACUCCUACGGGAGGCAGCAGUAGGGAAUCUUCCGCAAUGGACGAAAGUCUGACGGAGCAACGCCGCGUGAGUGAUGAAGGCUUUCGGGUCGUAAAACUCUGUUGUUAGGGAAGAACAAGUACAAGAGUAACUGCUUGUACCUUGACGGUACCUAACCAGAAAGCCACGGCUAACUACGUGCCAGCAGCCGCGGUAAUACGUAGGUGGCAAGCGUUAUCCGGAAUUAUUGGGCGUAAAGCGCGCGCAGGCGGUUUCUUAAGUCUGAUGUGAAAGCCCACGGCUCAACCGUGGAGGGUCAUUGGAAACUGGGGAACUUGAGUGCA